This 29-nucleotide non-coding RNA is filed under the name Rattus norvegicus (Norway rat). The record is from RNAcentral. Lineage: Eukaryota; Metazoa; Chordata; Mammalia; Rodentia; Muridae.
UGGUAAAGAUGUUUAUUUCCUUGCUGCUA